AGGACGAACGCUGGCGGCGUGCCUAACACAUGCAAGUCGAACGGAGAUGUUGAUUUCGGUUGACGUCUUAGUGGCGAACGGGUGAGUAACGCGUGAACAAUCUGACCUUAAGAGGGGGAUAACAACGAGAAAUCGUUGCUAAUACCGCAUAAGACCACAAUGCCGCAUGGCGAAGGGGUCAAAGGAGCAAUCCGCUUAAGGAGGGGUUCGCGUCCCAUUAGGUAGUAGGUGAGGUAACGGCUCACCUAGCCGACGAUGGGUAGCCGAGCUGAGAGGCUGAUCGGCCACACUGGAACUGAGACACGGUCCAGACUCCUACGGGAGGCAGCAGUGGGGAAUAUUGGGCAAUGGGCGCAAGCCUGACCCAGCAACGCCGCGUGAGGGAAGAAGGUUUUCGGAUUGUAAACCUCUGUCGCAGAUGACGAAACAAAUGACGGUGAUCUGUGAGGAAGCCCCGGCUAACUACGUG
This 469-nucleotide ribosomal RNA is filed under the name uncultured bacterium. RNAcentral describes it as "bacterial SSU rRNA". It matches the Rfam family "Bacterial small subunit ribosomal RNA", at positions 26 to 507 of the family's 1533-position model. The record is from RNAcentral.